Molecule: long non-coding RNA, 436 nt
Filed under: Equus asinus (donkey)
Lineage: Eukaryota; Metazoa; Chordata; Mammalia; Perissodactyla; Equidae
Description: lncRNA (ENSEASG00005024869.1)
Source: RNAcentral
UUCUGUCUAACUCCCAAACCAUAUUCCUGCCUGCAUAAAAUACUGCCAUCCCCAGUUCCUGAUACUGAGCGGAAUCCUGCUUCCCCAGGUCAGUCGGAUUCUCACGUGACUUCCUGGCAGUAACUGGAUUCCAAUUAAAAUCUACUCUUCUCAAAUCCUGCACCCACAGCCUUGACACGGACUGGUUUUCUCAAGUGAAGGGAUCACUGCUUGGAGAGGUCCCUAUGUCAUUUGCCAGUAUUUCUUCAGAACACUGUUUUUAUUUGAAAGAAUGACUGACAGAAACACUAUGGUUAUUCAGACUUGGAUAUUUGAAUGAAUUGAGCCUGCCACUUCAAGGAAAAAUGACGGGAAGUAUUUUUGCUGAUGAUACAAAAAUUUGAACUUUGAAGCAAAAAUGAUAAUUUUAGAAAAUGUAGUAUCCACUACAGUGAGC